This 596-nucleotide small RNA is filed under the name Pan troglodytes (chimpanzee). Its description in RNAcentral is "processed transcript". The record is from RNAcentral. Lineage: Eukaryota; Metazoa; Chordata; Mammalia; Primates; Hominidae.
GUCUUGGUAGGCGGUGCCGUGACAAGCCCAACCGGACGGCUGCAGAGGGCGAGAAGGGCAGACGGGACGUGCAGCCUCUUCCGCCUGAGCCCCGGAAGGGUGAUGUGGCUGCGGCAUCGCCGGCCUCGCUAUGAUUGUUGGGUAUAUUUUGGAAGUGUGCCAGAAUUGGCGAACGGAAGAGUCCUUAUGUUGCAGUAUGCUGUAUAGUAAUGGCCUUCAGCAUCCUCUUCAUACAGUAGCUGGGGAAAAUGCCAGAAUUUAGUUGCCAUCAGAUUUGAUUGUGAACAAGGACUGACUGCAGAAAAUAAUGGAAAGGAUGUUUAACUCUUUUAUCUCCGAACAUUGAAUGAGAUAAAUUUCCAGAUGCUGUUCUCUAUUUUAAUGUUAUUGGACCAAUGUUCUGUAUAAACAAUUAAGAUGUAACCAUUUAAUAGUCUGUAACAAUCAACCUCAGUACUGUCACUACAAUAUUACAUUCUGCAUAUGUUAUUCUGUUGUAUCAGAUACGAAAUUUUAGUGAGGUAUCUCUAAGGCACAUAGUAGAAAACAAAAUUGGUUAAUUACUCAAGUUCCUUUCACUGUGAUUUGGAAAUGAU